RNAcentral lists this ribosomal RNA (468 nucleotides) under uncultured bacterium. RNAcentral describes it as "partial 16S ribosomal RNA". It matches the Rfam family "Bacterial small subunit ribosomal RNA", at positions 28 to 507 of the family's 1533-position model. The record is from RNAcentral.
GACGAACGCUGGCGGCGUGCUUAACACAUGCAAGUCGAACGGACAGGCCCUGCUUUUGUGGGGUGCUCGAUUGGCGAACGGGUGAGUAACACGUGAGUAACCUGCCCUUGACUUUGGGAUAACUUCAGGAAACUGGGGCUAAUACCGGAUAGGAGCUCCUGCUGCAUGGUGGGGGUUGGAAAGUUUCGGCGGUUGGGGAUGGACUCGCGGCUUAUCAGCUUGUUGGUGGGGUAGUGGCUUACCAAGGCUUUGACGGGUAGCCGGCCUGAGAGGGUGACCGGCCACAUUGGGACUGAGAUACGGCCCAGACUCCUACGGGAGGCAGAAGUGGGGAAUAGUGCACUAUGGGCGGAAGCCUGAUGCAGUAACGCCGCGUGCGGGAUGACGGCCUUCGGUUUGUAAACCGCUUUCGCCUGUGACGAAGCGUGAGUGACGGUAAUGGGUAAAGAAGCACCGGCUAACUACGUG